Molecule: long non-coding RNA, 653 nt
Organism: Grus americana (Whooping crane)
Lineage: Eukaryota; Metazoa; Chordata; Aves; Gruiformes; Gruidae
Exons: 2
Source: RefSeq, a predicted model, not a curated record
CACGGGGAUGUGACACGGGGAUGUGACACGGGGACGCGGCGGAGAUGGCACCGGGAUGUGACACGGACACGGAAGAGAGAUGGCACCGGGAUGUGACACGGGGACACGGAAGAGAGGUGGCACCGGGAUGUGACACGGGGAUGGCACGGAGGUGGCACCAGCGUGCGACACGGGGACAGGGCAGAGAGGUGACGUGGAGGGAUGACACGGGGAUGGCACCAGGACGUGACACGGGGACGCGGCGCUGAAGGACGACACAGAGAGGUGGCCUGGGGACGCGGCGCGAGGGACGACGUGGAGCGGUGACGCAGAUGUGACUCGGGGACGCGGCACGGGUGUGACACGGAGGGACGUCGCGGGGACGCGGCACGGGGACGUGACGCGGAGGGACAACGCGGGGACGGGGCGGAAGCCCCCGGGGUGACGGUGGUGACGGUGGCCCUAGGGUGACGGCGGCCCCGGUGACGCGGGGUGACGGUGACGCGGGGCCGGCGCGAGACCGCGCAGCGACAAUCAGGGCCGGGGUGCGGGGCCACCUCGCGCGCGGUCCCCGCGCGUCCCCCGGCGUGGCGGCAGGGUUUGGCGCGUUGUGGGCGCGGGCGGCGGCUCCCCCUCGUUAUCGUCGUCAUUAUUAAUUAUUAUUAUUAUUAUUA